CAGCCGCCGCGGGAAUACGAAGGGGGCUAGCGUUGUUCGGAAUCACUGGGCGUAAAGGGUGCGUAGGCGGAUUCUUAAGUCAGGGGUGAAAUCCCGAGGCUCAACCUCGGAACUGCCUUUGAUACUGGGGAUCUUGAGUCCGGAAGAGGUGAGUGGAACUGCGAGUGUAGAGGUGAAAUUCGUAGAUAUUCGCAAGAACACCGGUGGCGAAGGCGGCUCACUGGUCCGGAACUGACGCUGAGGCACGACAGCGUGGGGAGCAAACAGGAUUAGAUACCCCCGUAGUCCCUGUCUCUUAUAC
This 301-nucleotide ribosomal RNA is filed under the name uncultured bacterium. RNAcentral's name for it is "partial 16S ribosomal RNA". It matches the Rfam family "Bacterial small subunit ribosomal RNA", at positions 509 to 807 of the family's 1533-position model. The record is from RNAcentral.